GGGCUCUAUCGGUGUUGGUUUCUCGGCACCUUGUACAGAUAUAAAAGAACACGCACAGAGACAGAACUCGAUCUGCUCCCUCACCGCCUUGAUCAGCUCCGGCAACAGAGGUUUGUUUUUUUGUGUUUCCGGAUAGAAUUAUGUUCGAUUGAGCUUAUUCAAUUAUUAAUCGCUUCUUUUUGCUUCUCACUGUAUUCCUUAUCUGGGACUCUUAUUCUGUGCUCAGUAUCUUCCAUUAUUCCCCUUUUCCCCAUGUGGUAUCAGCUUAUGUUUUGUUUCAAUUUUGGCUUGUUCCCAGCUUACUGAUUUGCCUUUGCUCUGUCAGCAAUGCGUAAAAUUAUUUUGUGUCUGCUUAAGAGCUAAUCUGAACCUGAACAUUACCCUUUUCAUUAAAUAGGGUCAAGAUUGAUAGCCCUAAUUCUGACAUCUAUUUUGGCGCACCUGGAAUCGGGUAACUUAGUUCAAUUGGUUCAAUCUAUAAGCUACUUUGUUAUCUAUAAUAUCUUUUUGUUUGGUUGGGGUUGGGAGGGAUUGCUUUCCUUUUGGAUUUAGUUAACUUUUGAAUGUGCAUCAUCAAUUUGAUUUUGUAGCUUUUUUUUUAAAGAGAAGGUUUUAGUUACUGGGUUGAUUUAUGGUGGAAUUCAGUUCCAUCACACCUGCUUAAUGUAUUGAUUUAAAUAUACCUUUUUCUUUUUCUUCUUGUAAAAUAUAAUUCUAACCCAGAAAUUGGCUUUUGAUAUUGUUAUUAUUUUACAUUACUUCAUUUGGGUUUUGAAUACGCUGUAAUUUUAUCAGAUAUUGAUAUAUGCCAACACAGAGCUUAGUUGGAUGAUAAUGGCUGCUCCAACAUCUGUGAAACAAAAUGUCUAUGAUUUUGAUGAUGAUGAUGAUGA
RNAcentral lists this unclassified non-coding RNA (893 nucleotides) under Hevea brasiliensis (rubber tree). Lineage: Eukaryota; Viridiplantae; Streptophyta; Magnoliopsida; Malpighiales; Euphorbiaceae. The record is from RNAcentral.